This is a long non-coding RNA of Cygnus olor (mute swan), 453 nucleotides long. RefSeq lists it as uncharacterized. Lineage: Eukaryota; Metazoa; Chordata; Aves; Anseriformes; Anatidae. The record is from RefSeq and is a predicted model, not a curated record. The transcript is spliced from 5 exons.
UCUGAAUAUGGAGAACAAAUUUUAUUGGUAAGAGAUUUAAUAUGCUUAAAAGAAGGCUCUAUAUAUGACGAGAAGCAUUUCUUCAGGCAGCCUACAUUUACUGCCAGGAUUUCUACAACCAUAAUUCAAUUAGAAACAUUAGAAGAUUUACGUUCUUCCUAAAAUGGCCACCAAAAUGUUAGUAAACAAGGAGCUAGUACAAUCAUGAAAGAUGAAUUCUCUGUAUGAUGAGCUGUGAACUACUGGUUUCAGUUUACAUUUAAGCUGUGAUUCUGAACACAUGCCUUUACAUCUGAUGGGGGUGACAACAAUGAUUCUGCCUCUAGAUCAGAAGCACAUUUUUAGGUACAAUGGGCCAACUGGUGCGCUGCCUCCUCAAAUUUAUCUAGAGCUUCCAUCUGGUCAAGGUGCAGUCAUCAAGGGCAACAGUUUCCCAGCAAUGCAGUUAACUCU